ACACAGCCAACAUAAUAUCAAAAUAUAUUUUAUUCUGGACCCUCUUUCAGAUCUGAUUCAAAUUACAGUUGUCAAAGCAAUACAAUGCAAAGGGAAACUGCAACAACAACAACAAAAAAUGUGCCUAGAAAGGAUAAAAGGGUUAUUAGGGACAAAUCAUUGUGAUGUGGAACCAAAAUACAUCAUAAGUGUAAUUAACAUGGUCCAGGACAGCAUAGAACAUCUAUAUCAGUCUUCCUUACACAAUAAUCAUGAAAACUGAACAAUAAAGUUCUUUAACAUGUACAAAAAACUGUCAUGGGCUGGUUUACACUUUUACAACAGUUUUAAAGUUAACUGGAUAACUAAAAAAUGAUGCAGACAUUUUAAUCCAGUGCUAUAGGUAGGCUCACAGAAUUAGACCCAAAGGAUUUGUAAAAAUCAAAAUGAAAACAUAGUUACAAUGUCAAAGUCAGGAAAGAAGAUUAUUUCUAUAUUCGAGGAUCACAGAGCUACAAAAUGUAGUCUGCAUGUUUUUGUUUGUAAUGAGAUGGAUAAGUACACAUCAGACUAGAUUUAACAUGCAGAAUGUUUUCUUGAACUUAUCCAGAAAUUCCAAAGAAAACAUCAUGAACAGCUGGCUUACUAGGAAAAAAAUAAUAUGCCCUAGUUAUUCACCCUGCUUCAACACUUGUCAACAUAAAGCAGAAAUAAAGAAUGCUAUCAAUAUCUCAGAGCUACUGAAAUAAGACAUCAAAUUUCUAAAUCAGUGUAUUAAAAAAGUGAACACUUCCUUUUUUCCACUCCUACAUUUAACUAGAAUCAUGUUUUAAAAAACUUGAUAUUAAAUGUGACACUUCAGAGCUACAACUGGAAGGAGUAAUUCAUAACUUCUCUACUCUCCUUUCAUCCCUGCUGGUUAAGAGAAGGGAGAGAAGGAGAAACAAACAAAACAAACAAAAACAACCAGGGUCUCUUCUGGGUUUGCUGCUAUUCCCCAAAAUGUCGGCAUUUGCUGCCAUGCCACAAUGUUGGUCCACUGAAACAGGAUUUCUACGGUAAUUCACCAUAUGCAAGUACUGUCCUUAGCAUGUGAGAAUAAACACGGUUCUGUAGAAAUGUACAAUGUGUUUAAGAAAAUGAAAAUUGUCUUAAAAGAGUAAACACUGCAUUUGAGAUUUAUUUUUCUACUUAGUAAAACUUGUCAUUUUUGCUUGCUGAAGUAUGAUCAUUUGUGAUUCCUUUAAAUAGCAAAAAUGCACAGUUCUCCUUAGGCCUCUACUCAUUUAUAGUUUACAUUACUCUUAACAAAAUCACUCUACAUAAACAGAUAGCUCCUUAAAAAUAGUACUCUCUCUCAUUAAAUCUAAUUUGACAGAAAGAAGUUUAAGGAAAAAAGGAGUGCUUUAUAAGUUAAGUGAAAAAGUACAAAUCUUUGGCCUUUCUCUUGACAUUUUUAUAUGUCAAAAAGCACAAAACCUUCAUGUAAUUCAAUCUAGUGAUUACUUUUUGCACCAUAAUUUGCUUUUACACCACAAAAGGAGGCACUUUCAGUAUCUGUAAAAGAUGUUUAAUCCUAAGACAUACUUACCUAGAGAAUAAUUAAAACAAUUUAAAACACUCUAAGACCUAUUAGGAAAUUACCAGUUUACCACUUCUAAAAGUCACUUGAAAGUCAAUAAUAUUACCUGAUUCAUUAUAGGGGAUUGGAACAAAUAUAAGUAAAGAAUUUCCUAUGUGGAGAAAAAGAUAUUCCUUUAUGACAUUUAAGAGUGGCAGCUGCUCUUUCUUUAUUCUAUUUUGAUCAAGGAGUAUUCAUUCAUUUUCCUUCCUGUUUUUCCUUGUAAGCCCCUUGUAGUAGUGUAUAAAAUGAUGGUCUAUGAUGAACACCACAGAAAAACUACUGGGUUCAACUGAUCUUCAGGAGUUAAGUUGUUAGGAAAAAAAUAGGAAAAAUGAGUAAGAACCCCAAAUAUAGAACUUUACAGCUGUGAAACUUCAUCUCUUGCAAACAUGUUACUGUUCAAAUUAGAGACGAUCUUAUGUUUUUCUACUGGAGCAGCAUCGUGGCACAUCAGCAGGCAAUGAUGAUGUUGAGAACAGCAGCAAAAACAAUCUUAUGUUCAUGAAGAACCCAAGCCCACAAAAUGGAUACCUUUCAAGAGAAGUUCAUACUUAAAAAGACCCAAGACUUCAGGAUAAUAAAGCUCUGCAUUUAUAAUCUUUUAUAUGUCCUAUUGUGACUAUUAUGCUAAAGUAAAAUAGCUAAAGAAUUUUAAAAAAACAAAAAAGAUGACAGUAUCAUAAAAAUGUAGCUGUCUAUUUUGGCAGCUAUAUUGCAGAAUUUCUUGCUAUCUUUUAAUCAGCUGGGGAAAAAAAGUCAACUAUGCAAAUGAAUAAACUGUCCAUAUCAAAAUACAAAAGUACUAUCAAUAAUCACCUCUGACUUUCAGAUUUAAGUUCAGUGCAAUUGACAAAUGCAUCGCUAAAGGAAAAUGCAGCUUAAACAUACUCAAAACAUUUGUGUCUAUUCCUGGGAGCACAUUUAAAAAUUAUUGCACAGAUUUUUAAAUUUUUAUUUAUUUUUUUUUAAACAACAACAGAGGUCAACCAUAGAUGUGAACCUCUAGCAAGAAAAGCAGGAUUUCAAGUGCCAGAUACUCAGCAUAUUAGGUUUCCUACAUAAGUCACAGGGUAAUAAGUUGUAAGUAUCUCUAAUGUGAUCCAAAACCCUAAAAACAGCUGGCACAAAACCAUCAUGACUGUCUCUCUGGAUGUAAAUUUUAAAAAAUAUUAUUACAGUAUCAUAGUCCCCACUAACAACAACUGGGGUACAUAUAACAAUGUAUUGUGAAAUUAAGUGUAUUUAUUCUCUUACCAAUAGCAAAUGCUACCCUACCUUAGGAAAACCAAGACUUGCUUCAAUCAAUGCUGUUUUGUAAAAAUAGCAAAACAACAAAUGCAAAUCAAAGCUGCAUUACUUGGGUUAAAUCAGUUUCUACUUAGAACACAGGCUAAAAUUUUGGUAGUAAAGGCCUCAGAGUAAUUAGUGACAGGAAUAGUGUUUUUAAUUUGCUAAGCUUGAAAAUAAGCAAUUGCUUAAUCAAAAUCUGUAAGGUAUAAAUUUGACAACAAUUUUCUUCAAACUUGACACUCCUGGAUCAUUUUAAUCAUGACAAACCCUGUUAAUAUACAUACACAUGGCCUCAUGCUAACAUUUAUCUGUAUAUUUUACUUUAGUUGCAUGAGCACAAGGAGAUUUGAUACCUACGUCUUUAAGAAAAUACUUGAUAUAAACAGAGUAAAAGACAUGAGAUAGUAGUGAUUACUGGAAAAAAAUAGCAGCUUAAAUCUAUCUAUAUUUG
This 3344-nucleotide long non-coding RNA is filed under the name Heterocephalus glaber (naked mole-rat). RNAcentral's name for it is "lncRNA (ENSHGLG00100042027.1)". Lineage: Eukaryota; Metazoa; Chordata; Mammalia; Rodentia; Bathyergidae. The record is from RNAcentral.